The sequence is a regulatory RNA element, 147 nucleotides long. It matches the Rfam family "glmS glucosamine-6-phosphate activated ribozyme aptamer". Rfam says of the family: This entry contains a glucosamine-6-phosphate activated ribozyme that is found in the mRNA for GlmS. GlmS is an enzyme that uses fructose-6-phosphate and glutamine to generate glucosamine-6-phosphate. The record is from Rfam.
AAAAUCGGAAAAGCGCCUGGACCAUUUUUGUGGUUGACGAGGAUGGAGUCUAUCGAUAAUCGGCGGGUGACUCCAGGGUCUGCACUCUACAGAGCGACUGUUAAAAACAAGUGUAAGCUUGCAACAGAGCAGCGUUCACGCAGUUGG